GGAGUUGUGGCUCAUCGGUAGAGCGCUUGCCUAGCACGUGGGAGGCCCUGGGUUCAAACCUCAGCACCA
RNAcentral lists this transfer RNA (69 nucleotides) under Urocitellus parryii (Arctic ground squirrel). RNAcentral describes it as "Spermophilus parryii (Arctic ground squirrel) tRNA". It matches the Rfam family "tRNA". Rfam says of the family: Transfer RNA (tRNA) molecules are approximately 80 nucleotides in length. Their secondary structure includes four short double-helical elements and three loops (D, anti-codon, and T loops). Further hydrogen bonds mediate the characteristic L-shaped molecular structure. tRNAs have two regions of fundamental functional importance: the anti-codon, which is responsible for specific mRNA codon recognition, and the 3' end, to which the tRNAs corresponding amino acid is attached (by aminoacyl-tRNA synthetases). tRNAs cope with the degeneracy of the genetic code in two manners: having more than one tRNA (with a specific anti-codon) for a particular amino acid; and 'wobble' base-pairing, i.e. permitting non-standard base-pairing at the 3rd anti-codon position. RNAcentral also lists the same sequence under 1 other name. The record is from Rfam by way of RNAcentral. Lineage: Eukaryota; Metazoa; Chordata; Mammalia; Rodentia; Sciuridae.